AUCAACUAGCCGUCCGUGUGCUCGCCGACGGCGUGCGGCGGCCUCGGCAUCCAUGACCUGCAAAGCUUCAGCCGCGCCCUGCGACUCAGGUGGCUGUGGAUCACUUGGCAACACCCGGAGCGCCCAUGGGUGGGGUUGGAGACACCAUGCAGCACGGAGGACAGAGCGCUCUUC
RNAcentral lists this ribosomal RNA (174 nucleotides) under Triticum aestivum (bread wheat). RNAcentral describes it as "partial small subunit ribosomal RNA". Lineage: Eukaryota; Viridiplantae; Streptophyta; Magnoliopsida; Poales; Poaceae. The record is from RNAcentral.